AACGCACGAGACCUGCGGACCUGCGGAAGGAUCAUUAGAGAUAACAAAAACAAACCAAACCAUUGUGAACGGCGUUCGCGCCAGGCGUUCGCGCCAUUACAAACUUAGCCGGCCAAAAUGUGAAUACUAUAACAAAUACAACUUUCAACAAUGGAUCUCU
This 160-nucleotide unclassified non-coding RNA is filed under the name soil metagenome. RNAcentral describes it as "partial contains 5.8S ribosomal RNA, internal transcribed spacer 2, and large subunit ribosomal RNA". The record is from RNAcentral.